RNAcentral lists this ribosomal RNA (446 nucleotides) under uncultured bacterium. RNAcentral describes it as "SSU rRNA". It matches the Rfam family "Bacterial small subunit ribosomal RNA", at positions 26 to 518 of the family's 1533-position model. The record is from RNAcentral.
AGAACGAACGCUGGCGGCAGGCCUCAAACAUGCAAGUCUAGGGGGUGUAGCAAUACAUCACCGGCGGACGGGUGCGUAACGCGUGGGAAUAUACCUAUUGGUUCGGAACAACUGAGGGAAACUUCAGCUAAUACCGAAUGUGCCCGUAAGGGGAAAGAUUUAUCGCCAAUAGAUUAGCCCGCGUAGGAUUAGCUAGUUGGUGGGGUAAUGGCCCACCAAGGCUCCGAUCCUUAGCUGUUCUGAGAGGAAGAUCAGCCACACUGGGACUGAGACACGGCCCAGACUCCUACGGGAGGCAGCAGUUGGGAAUCUUGGACAAUGGGGGAAACCCUGAUCCAGCCAUGCCGCGUGAGUGAUGAAGGCCUUCGGGUGUAAAACUCUUUCGACGGGGACGAUAAUGACGGUACCCGUAGAAGAGCUCCGGCUAACUUCGUGCCAGCAGCCGC